This 490-nucleotide ribosomal RNA is filed under the name uncultured bacterium. RNAcentral's name for it is "partial 16S ribosomal RNA". It matches the Rfam family "Bacterial small subunit ribosomal RNA", at positions 30 to 507 of the family's 1533-position model. The record is from RNAcentral.
AUUGAACGCUGGCGGCAGGCUUAACACAUGCAAGUCGAGCGGUAGCACAGGGGAGCUUGCUCCCUGGGUGACGAGCGGCGGACGGGCGAGUAAUGUCUGGGAAACUGCCUGAUGGAGGGGGAUAACUACUGGAAACGGUAGCUAAUACCGCAUAACGUCGCAAGACCAAAGAGGGGGACCUUCGGGCCUCUUGCCAUCAGAUGUGCCCAGAUGGGAUUAGCUAGUAGGUGGGGUAAUGGCUCACCUAGGCGACGAUCCCUAGCUGGUCUGAGAGGAUGACCAGCCACACUGGAACUGAGACACGGUCCAGACUCCUACGGGAGGCAGCAGUGGGGAAUAUUGCACAAUGGGCGCAAGCCUGAUGCAGCCAUGCCGCGUGUGUGAAGAAGGCCUUCGGGUUGUAAAGCACUUUCAGCGAGGAGGAAGGUGGUGAGCUUAAUACGUUCAUCAAUUGACGUUACUCGCAGAAGAAGCACCGGCUAACUCCGUG